Molecule: ribosomal RNA, 253 nt
Filed under: uncultured bacterium
Lineage: Bacteria
Description: partial 16S ribosomal RNA
Rfam family: Bacterial small subunit ribosomal RNA
Source: RNAcentral
UACGGAGGGGGCUAGCGUUGUUCGGAAUUACUGGGCGUAAAGCGCGCGUAGGCGGACCUGCAAGUCGGGGGUGAAAGCCCGAGGCUCAACCUCGGAACUGCCUUCGAUACUGCGGGUCUCGAGUCCGGGAGAGGUGAGUGGAAUUCCUAGUGUAGAGGUGAAAUUCGUAGAUAUUGGGAGGAACACCAGAGGCGAAGGCGGCCUGCUGGGCUGCACCUGACGCUGAGCCGCGAAAGCCAGGGGAGCGAACGGG